AGGGCAUACGGCGGAUGCCUUGGCGCCAAGAGCCGAUGAAGGACGCGGUAAGCUGCGAAAAGGCAUGGGUAGGAGCAAGCAUCCUGUGAUCCAUGCAUAUCCGAAUGGGGCAACCCACCAUCAGUCAUGUGAUGGUACGAAAGAGGCAGACCUGGGGAACUGAAACAUCUAAGUACCCAGAGGAAAAGUAAUCAAUUGAGAUUCCCUAAGUAGCGGCGAGCGAAAGGGGAAGAGCCCAAACCAGAUAACUUCGGUUGUCUGGGGUUGAGGACCGGCAUAAAGAGGAAACUUCUUAGUCGAAUGGUUUGGAAAGGCCAUGCACAGAAGGUAAAACACCUGUAGGCGAAAAGAAGUCAAUCGGGCUGGUAUCCAGAGUACUGCGAGACACGUGAAACCUUGCAGGAAGCAGGGGGGACCACCCUCCAAGGCAAAAUACUACUUGGCGACCGAUAGCGCAUAGUACCGUGAGGGAAAGGUGAAAAGAACCCCGGGAGGGGAGUGAAAUAGAACCUGAAACCGUAUGUCUACAAGCAGUCGAAGCACCUUAAGAGUGCGACGGCGUGCCUAUUGAAGAAUGAACCGGCGAGUUACAUUAUGUUGCGAGGUUAAGUGGGAGACACGGAGCCGAAGCGAAAGCGAGUCUUAAUAGGGCGACUAGUAACAUGGUGUAGACCCGAAACCGCAGUGAUCUAUCCAUGGUCAGGUUGAAGCGCAGGUAAAAAUGCGUGGAGGACCGAACCCGUGAGUGUUGAAAAACUUUGGGAUGAACCGUGGAUAGGGGUGAAAUGCCAAUCGAACGCGGAGAUAGCUGGUACUCCCCGAAAUAGCUUUAGGGCUAGCCUCAGGGAAGAUUAUAGACGGUAGAGCACUGAUCUGGCAAGGGGGCGUAAAGCCUACCGACCCUAGUCAAACUUCGAAUGGCUAUAAUUAAGACCCUGGGAGUCAGACUGCGAGUGAUAAGACCCGUAGUCAAGAGGGAAACAGCCCAGACCGCCGACUAAGGUCCCCAAUGCUGUACUAAGUGGAAAAGGAUGUAAGACUUCAUAAACAACCAGGAUGUUGGCUUAGAAGCAGCCACCAUUAAAAGAGUGCGUAAUAGCUCACUGGUCGAGAGGCCUUGCGCCGAAGAUGUCCGGGGCUCAAGUACAGAACCGAAGUCGCGGCAGGAUUUAUAAUUCUGGGUAGGGGAGCGUUGUAUAUCCGACUGAAGGUGUACCGGAAGGAGCGCUGGAGGAUAUACAAGAGAGAAUGCCGGUAUGAGUAGCGAAAAGAACAGUGAGAAUCUGUUCCACCGAAAGCCUAAGGUUUCCUGAGCAACGCUCGUCGACUCAGGGUAAGUCGGGACCUAAGCCGAGGCAAAAAGCAUAGGCGAUGGACAACAGGUUAAUAUUCCUGUACCGCUUCAAAUCGUUUGAGCAAUGGAGUGACACAGAAGGUAGCUUGAGCACGCGAAUGGAUGUGCGUGUCGAAGGUGGUAGGUUGCAGUAUAGGCAAAUCCGUACUGUAUAAGACCGAGAACUGAUAGAUAGACGAUACUUCGGUAAAGUCAAAUUCAAGUGAGCCAUGCUGUCGAGAAAAGCUUCUAGUGAGAGAUGAGGCGCCCGUACCGAAACCGACACAGGUAGGCGGGGAGAGAAUCCUAAGGUGCGCGGGACAACCCUCGUUAAGGAACUCGGCAAAUUGUAUCCGUAACUUAGGGAUAAGGAUAGCCGGAGGAUGUGAAGGGAUUUACUUCUGGAGCGUCAGCCGGUGGCACAAGAGAGGCCCAAGCGACUGUUUAGCACAAACACAGGUGCCUGCAAAAGAGAAAUCUGACGUAUAGGUGCUGACACCUGCCCGGUGCUGGAAGGUUAAGAGGAGGGCUUAGAGGUAACUCGAAGGCUUGAAUUGAAGCCCCAGUAAACGGCGGCCGUAACUAUAACGGUCCUAAGGGAGCGAAAUUCCUUGUCGGGUAAGUUCCGACCCGCACGAAAGGUGUAACGACUUGGGCACUGUCUCAACGAGGGACCCGGUGAAAUUGAAGUACCUGUGAAGAUGCAGGUUACCCGCGACUGGACAGAAAGACCCCAUGGAGCUUUACUGCAACCUGACAUUGAUGUUCGGUAAAUAACGUACAGGAUAGGUGGGAGACGGAGAAGUAUUGGCGUUAGCUGAUAUGGAGUCAACCUUGGGAUACCACCCUUUAUUUAUUGGACCUCUAACUGAAGAAGUAACGACUCUCAGGACAGUAUCAGGCGGGCAGUUUGACUGGGGCGGUCGCCUCCCAAAAUGUAACGGAGG
RNAcentral lists this ribosomal RNA (2280 nucleotides) under human gut metagenome. RNAcentral's name for it is "bacterial LSU rRNA". It matches the Rfam family "Bacterial large subunit ribosomal RNA", at positions 14 to 2306 of the family's 2925-position model. The record is from RNAcentral.